AUUUGGUUUAAGGUUUGAUUAGGGUUUGGAUUAGGGUUUGAUUUAGGAUUUAGAAUUUAAAGAUUAAUUAGAAUUUAGUUUAGGAUUUAGGAUUUAGAUUAGGAUUUGAUUUAAGAUUUAAUUAGGGUUUUAUUUAAGAUUUAGAGUUUGGUUUAGGAUUUGGUUAGGAUUUGGUUUAGGAUUUGGUUUAGGAUUUGAUUUAGGGUUUGGUUUAGGAUUUAGUUGGAGUUUGAUUUAAGGUUUUUUUAGGGUUUUAUUUAGGAUUUAGGAUUUUAUUAGGAUUUAAGAUUCAAUUAGUUUUGGCCUAAAGUUUUAAUGAAGUUCAAUAGGAUUUUAACUAAAAUUAAAUUAAGAUUGAAUUGAGAUAUAUUUGAGUGAUAUUUGUGAUCCUUCUAACAUUUCUUUAAGAAUUCUUAUUAUUUGUUUGAAAUUUCUUUGAGGUUUUUUUGAAUUUGAUUAAGCUUGCU
Molecule: long non-coding RNA, 467 nt
Filed under: Physcomitrium patens
Lineage: Eukaryota; Viridiplantae; Streptophyta; Bryopsida; Funariales; Funariaceae
Description: long non-coding RNA (PPAT_LNC014214)
Source: RNAcentral